RNAcentral lists this ribosomal RNA (207 nucleotides) under uncultured bacterium. RNAcentral's name for it is "partial 16S ribosomal RNA". It matches the Rfam family "Bacterial small subunit ribosomal RNA", at positions 568 to 774 of the family's 1533-position model. The record is from RNAcentral.
CGCGUAGACGGCAAGGCAAGUCUGAUGUGAAAACCCAGGGCUUAACCCUGGGACUGCAUUGGAUACUGUCGGGCUUGAGUGCAGGAGAGGUAAGUGGAAUUCCCGGUGUAGCGGUGAAAUGCGUAGAGAUCGGGAGGAACACCAGUGGCGAAGGCGACUUACUGGACUGUAACUGACGCUGAGGCGCGAAAGUGUGGGGAGCAAACA